UAGCAAUUCCUUCCUUGCUUAGGGUC
This 26-nucleotide non-coding RNA is filed under the name Rattus norvegicus (Norway rat). The record is from RNAcentral. Lineage: Eukaryota; Metazoa; Chordata; Mammalia; Rodentia; Muridae.